Molecule: long non-coding RNA, 1605 nt
Organism: Mesocricetus auratus (golden hamster)
Lineage: Eukaryota; Metazoa; Chordata; Mammalia; Rodentia; Cricetidae
Exons: 2
Source: RefSeq, a predicted model, not a curated record
CCUGCCUUAGUCGCUCCAAUCCUAGUCACAGUGCGGCACGUGUUCAUCUCCGUAGAGCAACGUGGAGUCAGCGACCUCUUUGAGGGUAAAGCUUCUUCCUGCCGCUCCUGGGUGUUUGUGGGUACAUGGGUGUGUGUCUGUGCCCGGAGAGGCCCAAGGGGCUACAGCAGAGCACUGGACAAGAGUCGGAAGGCCCUGGCUCUAGCCUCUCUCUGACACUCCUAUAGCUGUGGAUCAGAGUAACCUCCUAGUAGAUUUUACCCGGGACAAAGACUCUAGGAGAGGCGCUUGUGCUGUCUUUAGGCUGAACACACACAGUUGACCCUGGGAAACUCCUGUGCUGGAGUUUCACAUUGUACCACCACCCCCAGAUCAUCCACUUGGAUAUGAUUUAUACAUUGGCAUUCUCUGCAAGAUUUCUCUCAAGGAAACUUAAAAACUGGCAGCCUUAAAGGUUGUGGAGAGACAAGGCAACUGACUGGAAAAUAGCAAAGACUGCUCUCCUAGAGUAGCAGCAGAAGGACCCCAAAGACUUCCAGGGGACACCAAGUCAAAGCUGAAGAAAGAAUGCUUCUCAUGCCAGCAGGGCUGAAGGCCUGAGUGUCCAGUUGGGAUUCUCCUGCUUAGAUGGAUGCUCCAUGGUCCUUCCCAACGCCCAGAUCAGAGUCCUCCGACACAACCCAGAGUGGUCCUGCCAUCACCGACCAAGCAUACCCCUCUAAGCAUCGCUGUGUGUCUCUUUCUUGGCCUGUGGUGUUUGUUCUGGCUCCUGUUGAACAACGUAGGCUUUGUGUUAGAUUAUUAGUGUCUCGUCUUGCUGCUGUGAUGAUAUCUGAGCCAAGCGAUUUAAGGCGCGAAACGUCUAUGUUGGUUCGCAGUUCAGGCUCCAUCAUAGUGCCGAAGUUAUGGUAGUAUGAGCCUAGGACAGCAGGUCAUGUUGCAUCUGCAGUCAGGAAGCAAUAGGAAGGUGAAUGUUAGCGAUCAGCUCCAUUUCCCCAUCUUACCCAGCGGAGGACCCCAGCCCCCUGAGUGGUGCCACUCACAGUUCAGGCAGAUCUUCCCUUCUCCAUCUAACCUAGGUAAUCCUUCACCAGCAUGAGGCUUGUCUCUUCUACCAGACCCUGGCAGGUAGACAGUCGAUGUUAACCAUCACAAUGUCAAGCAGUGCUCUGCAUUCCUGGGCAAUCUGAGGUAAGCAUAGAAAGGCCAAUGCCUGACUUCCGUGUUAUCUCACUGUUACAUCCCACCUGGAGGUAGGUCCAGGGUCCGAAAGCUCCCGUCAUACGCUCUGUCCAGCUUGUUAUUUCCACAAACACACUCCAUUCUCCCUCUGCCGAGAGACCUCCCUGCCUUUCCAGCCCUUUCCAUUCUCAAGGCAUGCCUGGGCCCCCCACCUCAGAAGCCUCUUCCUCCACACACACCAUGUACAGCCCCUGGGCUCAUGCUUGUGAUUUAUCUUUUGGGGAACUAUGUCUUGUUUCUCCAGUUAUACUGUAAACUUUUGGGGGUAGCAACACGUGCUAUCCCAAACACCAUUAACAUUUGUUUAAAGAAGAAGGGGGGAAGGAAAGAAGAGAGAGAGGCAAUAAAUCCAUCCAUCUUCUG